CUGAAUCCUGGCCUAGCUUCUGGGAGGUGCAAGGAACCGAGUGACUCACCACAGCGUCUGCUGCGUCAUCAGGAAAGAGGGUGCCCGAGGACAGAGGCUAGACUGGAAUUUCAAGUUUCUGAAUUCUGACCUCGGCCGGCUCACUGGCUGUCUCUACAUGGGGCUACAUUUUGACUGUGGUAUAUAGAAGUCAUUGCCUGCCAACAGCCUACCACAGUCUUGGGAAUGAACUCUGACAAACUUACCAUCAGGACCGCCGAUGCAUCCCAUCGAGGAUGGAAGAACGGGGCUCCAAACUUUGUUACACUCUUCUUGAAAGCAGGUAUUCCUGGUUUCUUUUUGUUUGGGUUACCUUGGAAGGUGACCAACUUCUUGAAAUGCUGGCCCUUCAGGAUUUGGCC
This 401-nucleotide long non-coding RNA is filed under the name Ursus maritimus (polar bear). RNAcentral describes it as "lncRNA (ENSUMAG00000004550.1)". The record is from RNAcentral. Lineage: Eukaryota; Metazoa; Chordata; Mammalia; Carnivora; Ursidae.